CCUACGGGUGGCAGCAGUGGGGAAUAUUGCACAAUGGCGGAAACCCUGAUGCAGCGACGCCGCGUGAGUGAAGAAGUAAUUCGUUAUGUUAAGCUCUAUCUGCAGGGAAGUAAAUGACGGUACCUGAGUAAGAAGCCCUGGCUAACUACGUGACAGCAGCCGCGGUACGACGGAGGGGGCAAGCGUUAUCCGGAUUUACUGGGUGUAAAGGGAGCGUAGACGGUUGUGCAAGUCUGGAGUGAAAGGUGGGGGCUCAACCCCCGGACUGCUCUGGAAACUGUACGGCUGGAGUGCAGGAGAGGUAAGUGGAAUUCCUGGUGUAGCGGUGAAAUGCGUAGAUAUUAGGAGGAACACCAGUGGCGAAGGCAGCUUACUAGACUGUAACUGACGUUGAGGCUCGAAAGCGUGGGGAGCAAACAGGAUUAGAUACCCUUGUAGUC
Molecule: ribosomal RNA, 440 nt
Filed under: uncultured bacterium
Lineage: Bacteria
Description: partial 16S ribosomal RNA
Rfam family: Bacterial small subunit ribosomal RNA
Source: RNAcentral